This 1761-nucleotide long non-coding RNA is filed under the name Fukomys damarensis (Damara mole-rat). RNAcentral's name for it is "lncRNA (ENSFDAG00000027331.1)". The record is from RNAcentral. Lineage: Eukaryota; Metazoa; Chordata; Mammalia; Rodentia; Bathyergidae.
AUGCCAAAUAAAUUGUCCAAGGGCCCAUUGAUAGCAGGUGGUAGAGCUAACACUAGAAAUAAGCUUAGCCCAGUGUCUGGUAUGAGAAGUUGUUCGAACAGUCUGAAUUACUCUUCCUGUUCUGGAGGUUACAGUGAGUAUCCUCCACCUGUGAAGGUGACAGAUGGGCGGGGGCUUUUGAGAGCAGACAAGGAGGCACCUGGGUGUUCAGAGACUCCUGGGACCCUAGAGGUGUGUGAGUGUGUGGGUGACCUUCCCAGGGCACACCCCCUCCCAGGCCUGUCACAGAGCAAGUCACAGACCUGCCUCACAGUGGCAGGAGUCCCUGAGGGGGCCUGGCCCUGGGCGCACACAGGAGGCGGCCCUGCAGCAGCUGCGUGUCUGGGAGGGCCUCAGACUCCACCUGCGCCCCUCCAGAAGUGGUGACGGAGGAGAGGUGCACGGACCAGGCCCUCUGCUCAACAAAAGCCAGCGCUGGGGCUGCCCCGGCCAAGGCAGAUUUAUUGCUCUCUCUGCCGAGCCAGUGCGAGCGGGUGCCUUUAACGGCCGCCUGUGAAUGGAGACAUGCCUGCCUGAUAUACAAACACUGAGAGGACAAAGACGGCUCCUGCAACUUAUAAAUCAGAGAAAUCAUGUCUGACAGUCACUUUCCGUUCUCUGGGCGCCGAGCAAUUCAUCAGCCGAUCCCCUCUGAUUCAUGGAGGCAGCUACGCCCAGUGCCCACAAUCAUAAGUAUGUGCACAGUCAGGCAGCCGGGAGCAGCAAGCAGGUUCCGGGGCCUAAAUGGCUGUCGUUUACGCACAUCACAGCCCCCAGCCGGUGUCAAAGUGAGGUUAGGGGCUAAUUAGAUCAAGAGCCCAACAGACAACUUCGCGUCUCGGGACCCUUUUUUCUCUCUCUCCCCUAAGUGCUUAAAGAAGUCAAACCUAGGGGAGGAGGAGGAGAAAUAAAACAUGCAAAAAGUAAAAGUAGGGGGAGCCAUAAUAAAGCCCGAGGGGUUCCCGCAGAUCUGGGAGCCUCUCCCACUCAGGCAAGACCUUUUGAUUUGCAAAUCUUUCUGAAGCCGCCUCCGCCCCACCCGAGGGGUAGGAGGUACUCCCCCGGGGGGCCAUUAUGUACCUCUGCCUAUAAACCCGUCCAGGAAGCUGGGGGAGAGACGGGGAGGCAGAGAGGGGCUGCCCUAGUUAGUGUGACAAACACUCCUUUGCGUGCCUACGGCCCAAUACGUGCGUGUGAGCCCACGGAUAUUGAUAGAGUUCACCGCACCAUCACUCUCUCACCCGCUGGCGCCGACAACCUCUUCCUUCUGUCCCAAGGUGCGGGGUCCGCAGACAGGGGCACCCUCGGAGAAUCACUUCCCUGAAUUAUAUAAGAUCGCACAGGCUCCGCUGACACCUUGGAGCAGAAUGACAAAGCUGUCUGGGAGCUCACAGCCCCUCCGCCCCGGCGUGGGGGCUGGAGGAUUUCGUGAGUUAAGACUCACAUUGCGCCCCUCCUUUCCAUUCUUUUUUUUUCCUCCAUUCUUUUUUUUUUACAGCACAUGACAGGCAUCCAUAAGAGAGACCCACACAACUGAAGUGAAUUAUGCAGCCCCGCUCAUUUGUAAAGUGAAGUGAAAUGCAGAUUUUGCCUGCUGAAAUUCAGAUCUUGCCUCCUAUUCCCCGUAAGUCGAGGCUGGCACAGGGAAAUCUAUUGAUUUAUUAUGAUUUUAAAAAAUAAAAAUAAAUAAAAACCCCAAACUACCAAACAAACAAUCCGGCA